UCCGAGCCUCCCCUCCAUCUGAGGGGCAUCGUCUCGGGUGCCCAUGCCCGCUCAGUGUGCCAUAUGGGAACUUGCGCCCGCCUCCACCACCCCCCAAAACCCAACCGUGCCCCCCCUUCCUCCGCCACUUUUUUUCUUUGCUCCCCUUCAUGGCGUCUUUCUCUUCACGCUGUUGCUUUCUUUUUAGGUUUGUUUUGUUUUUCAAGCCCAUUUCUUUUUUAAGGAAUAGUCAGAUGUUGAUGGCCUUGUUGGAAUGGACCAUUAACUAAGUGGUCCUGUGCAGAACCUCCAGCAUGCUGUAACAGACGAGGGACAAGAGGAAAGGCAAGAUGUACAGAAUCAUGUGCCGGUGGUUUAACAAGCCCAACACACACACAAAAACCCUUUCUGACAAAAGCCGGUGUUACUAGCAGACAGUACCACAUGAAGACCGAGAAGAAGGUGAAACGGCCUAGCCACCAGUGCUCUGUCCUCCGCUAGACACACAGCCAUGUUAUUUCACAGAAGCCUUGACAGGAGACGAAAACGGCUGAGACUCCUCCAGCCGUAACCUGCAAAGCCCAACCAAAAGCGAACAUAAUGGAUAAUUCCUUCAGCUUGACCAAGGGAAAAAAAGUUUAAAAGUAAAAAAAAAAAAGAAAGAAAAGAAAAAAA
Long non-coding RNA from Clupea harengus (Atlantic herring), 654 nucleotides. Lineage: Eukaryota; Metazoa; Chordata; Actinopteri; Clupeiformes; Clupeidae. The record is from Ensembl.